RNAcentral lists this ribosomal RNA (555 nucleotides) under Bifidobacterium pseudocatenulatum. RNAcentral's name for it is "bacterial SSU rRNA". It matches the Rfam family "Bacterial small subunit ribosomal RNA", at positions 145 to 711 of the family's 1533-position model. Lineage: Bacteria; Bacillati; Actinomycetota; Actinomycetes; Bifidobacteriales; Bifidobacteriaceae. The record is from RNAcentral.
UUCUCCUGGAAAACGGGUGGUAAUGCCGGAUGCUCCGACUCCUCGCAUGGGGUGUCGGGAAAGAUUUCAUCGGUAUGGGAUGGGGUCGCGUCCUAUCAGGUAGUCGGCGGGGUAACGGCCCACCGAGCCUACGACGGGUAGCCGGCCUGAGAGGGCGACCGGCCACAUUGGGACUGAGAUACGGCCCAGACUCCUACGGGAGGCAGCAGUGGGGAAUAUUGCACAAUGGGCGCAAGCCUGAUGCAGCGACGCCGCGUGCGGGAUGACGGCCUUCGGGUUGUAAACCGCUUUUGAUCGGGAGCAAGCCUUCGGGUGAGUGUACCUUUCGAAUAAGCACCGGCUAACUACGUGCCAGCAGCCGCGGUAAUACGUAGGGUGCAAGCGUUAUCCGGAAUUAUUGGGCGUAAAGGGCUCGUAGGCGGUUCGUCGCGUCCGGUGUGAAAGUCCAUCGCUUAACGGUGGAUCUGCGCCGGGUACGGGCGGGCUGGAGUGCGGUAGGGGAGACUGGAAUUCCCGGUGUAACGGUGGAAUGUGUAGAUAUCGGCAAGAACACCA